AAUUCGCCCUUGAGCACGUAGGUGGGUUUGUAAGUCAGAUGUGAAAGCCUUCUGUUCAACGGAAGAAUUGCAUCUGAAACUACAAGUCUUGAGUGUAGGAGGGGAGAAUGGAACUUCUGGUGGAGCGGUGAGAUCCGUAGAUAUCAGAAGGAACGCCGGCGGCGAAAGCGAUUCUCUGGCCUAUUACUGACACUCAGUGUGCGAAAGCUAGGGGAGCAAACGGGAUUAGAUACCCCGGUAGUCCUAGCCGUAAACGAUGGGCACUAAGUAGAGGGGAUUACCGACGUUCUCUCUUCCGUAGCUAACGCAUUAAGUGCCCCGCCUGGGGAGUACGGCCGCAAGGCUAAAACUCAAGAGAAUUGACGGGGGCUCGCACAAGCGGUGGAGCAUGUGGCUUAAUUCGAUGCAACGCGAAGAACCUUACCGGGGCUUGACAUGGUAGAAGUAGGAACCCGAAAGGGUAACGAACGGUAUCCAGUCCGUGACUAUCACAGGUGUUGCAUGGCUGUCGUCAGCUCGUGUCGUGAGACGUUGGGUUAAGUCCCCUAACGAGCGAAACCCUUGUUUUUAGUUACCAGCGGGUUAUGCCGGGUACUCUAGAAAGACUGCCGUCGUCAAGACGGAGGAAGGUGGGGAUGACGUCAAGUCAUCAUGGCCCUUAUGCCCCGGGCUGCACACGCGCUACAAUGGUCGGUACAAACGGAAGCGAAGCCGAGAGGUGAAGCGAAUCCAAGGGCGAAUU
This 742-nucleotide ribosomal RNA is filed under the name uncultured Planctomycetota bacterium. Its description in RNAcentral is "bacterial SSU rRNA". It matches the Rfam family "Bacterial small subunit ribosomal RNA", at positions 552 to 1283 of the family's 1533-position model. The record is from RNAcentral. Lineage: Bacteria; Pseudomonadati; Planctomycetota.